RNAcentral lists this ribosomal RNA (512 nucleotides) under Harrimaniidae sp. n. clade 3 JTC-2014. Its description in RNAcentral is "partial 16S ribosomal RNA". It matches the Rfam family "Bacterial large subunit ribosomal RNA", at positions 1846 to 2582 of the family's 2925-position model. The record is from RNAcentral. Lineage: Eukaryota; Metazoa; Hemichordata; Enteropneusta; Harrimaniidae.
UGAGGGGUACUGCCUGCCCAGUGAGUUUUUCAACGGCCGCGGUACCCUGACCGUGCAAAGGUAGCAUAAUCCCCAGUCUCCUAAAUAGAGACCAGUAUCAACGGCAAGACGAGGGUCUAACUGUCUCCCUACUUUACCUUAAAACUUCUUUAGUUGUGCAAAAGCAACCAUUAAAGCGUAAGACGAGAAGACCCUAUCGAGCUUUAGGCUAAAAGAUAUUAACCCACCAAAGAAACCUUGCUGAAAAACACAAACUUCUCCCCCUCUUAUAUCUCCCCCCUUUGGUUGGGGCAACCACGGAAAAAACCCACCUUCCGCAAUUAAAACACCCAGAUUCCAAAUCUAAGUUUAUACAAUACCCUGAUCCAAAAUUCUUUGAUCCACGAACCAAGUUACCGUAGGGAUAACAGCGUAAUCCCUUCCAAGAGUCCACAUUGCCGAAGGGGUUUGCGACCUCGAUGUUGGAUCGGGUCAUCCUAACGGUGCAGCCGCUGUUAAGGGUUGGUCUGUUC